Molecule: unclassified non-coding RNA, 254 nt
Filed under: uncultured Gemmatimonadota bacterium
Lineage: Bacteria; Pseudomonadati; Gemmatimonadota
Description: uncultured Gemmatimonadetes bacterium contains 16S-23S intergenic spacer region
Rfam family: Bacterial small subunit ribosomal RNA
Source: RNAcentral
UACGGAGGGUGCAAGCGUUGUUCGGAAUUAUUGGGCGUAAAGCGCGCGCAGGCGGCUUUGUAAGUCUAGGGGUCAAAUGCCGGGGCUCAACCCCGUGCUCGCCCCAGAUACUGCAAGGCUGGAGGCAGGUAGAGGCUAACGGAAUUCCGGGUGUAGCGGUGGAAUGCGUAGAGAUCCGGAAGAACACCAGAGGCGAAGGCGGUUAGCUGGACCUGACCUGACGCUGAGGCGCGAAAGCGUGGGGAGCGAACAGG